AUAUUUCGGAACUGAGUCUAGUUCCUUCGAUAUCAGUGUAAUCUAAUAAUCAUGAAAUCUGCUGUGUAGGCACACAGCAGAUUUCAUGAUUAUUAGAUUACACUGAUAUCGAAGGAACUAGACUCAGUUCCGAAAUAU
Paramuricea clavata is the source of this 138-nucleotide non-coding RNA. The record is from the annotation of a GenBank genome assembly. Lineage: Eukaryota; Metazoa; Cnidaria; Anthozoa; Malacalcyonacea; Plexauridae.